Long non-coding RNA from Oncorhynchus tshawytscha (Chinook salmon), 1328 nucleotides. The record is from Ensembl. Lineage: Eukaryota; Metazoa; Chordata; Actinopteri; Salmoniformes; Salmonidae.
CUGAUAUCCAGAAGCUCUUUGUCUAAUCCGAGGUGAGUGAUCUCUGUCCUGAUAUCCAGAAGCUCUUUGUCUAAUCCGAGGUGAGUGAUCUCUGUCCUGAUAUCUAGAAGCUCUUUGUCUAAUCCGAGGUCAGUGAUCUCUGUCCUGAUAUCUAGAAGCUCUUAGUCUAAUCCAAGGUGAGUGAUCUCUAAUCUGAUAUCUAGAAGCUCUUUGUCUAAUCCGAGGUGAGUGACCUCUGUCCUGAUAUCUAGAUGCUCUUUGUCUAAUCCGAGGUGAGUGAUCUCUGUCCUGAUAUCCAGAAGCUCUUUGUCUAAUCCGAGGUGAGUGAUCUCUGUCCUGAUAUCCAGAACCUCUUAGUCUAAUCCGAGGUGAGUCAUCUCGGUCCUGAUAUCUAGAAGCUCUUAGUCUAAUCCGAGGUGAGUGAUCGCUGUCCUGAUAUCCAGAAGCUCUUGUGUGUCUUUGGACAAAUGCUCAAACUUGUACACUUUUGAUAGACUGAAGGGGCAAUCUGUAAUUGCUCCAUCCAUUUCUGGACAUACAAAUGAUAUAUAUUGUCACGACUUCCGCCGAAGUUGGUCCCUCUCCUUUUUCCGGGGGCGAUCGGCGGUCGACGUCACCGAAUUUCUAGCCACCAUCGAUCCAUGUUUCAUGUUCGUUUUGUUUUGUCUUCAUUGUACACACCUGGUUUCCAUUCCAUAAUCAGUGUUCCUUAUUUAACCCUCUGGCUUCCCCUUUUGUUUGGUGCGUGAUUGUCACGGUCAAGUGGUUUAAUUUAUCAAAUCAAAUCAAAUGUAUUUAUAUAGCCCUUCGUACAUCAGCUGAUAUCUCAAAGUGCUGUACAGAAACCCAGGCUAAAACCCCAAACAGCAAGCAAUGCAGGUGUAGAAGCACGGUGGCUAGGAAAAACUCCCUAGAAAGGCCAAAACCUAGGAAGAAACCUAGAGAGGAACCAGGCUAUGUGGGGUGGCCAGUCCUCUUCUGGCUGUGCCGGGUGGAGAUUAUAACAGAACAUGGCCAAGAUGUUCAAAUAUUCAUAAAUGACCAGCAUGGUCGUAUAAUAAUAUGGCAGAACAGUUGAAACUGGAGCAGCAGCACGGUCAGGUGGACUGGGGACAGCAAGGAGUCAUCAUGUCAGGUAGUCCUGGGGCAUGGUCCUUGGGCUCAGGUCCUCCGAGAGAGAGAAAGAAAGAAAGAAGGAGAGAAUUAGAGAACGCACACUUAGAUUCACACAGGACACCGAAUAGGACAGGAGAAGUACUCCAGAUAUAACAAACUGACCCUAGCCCCCCGACACAAACUACUGCAGCAUAAUUACUGGAGGCUGAGAC